RNAcentral lists this ribosomal RNA (253 nucleotides) under uncultured bacterium. RNAcentral's name for it is "partial 16S ribosomal RNA". It matches the Rfam family "Bacterial small subunit ribosomal RNA", at positions 524 to 776 of the family's 1533-position model. The record is from RNAcentral.
UACGUAGGGGGCUAGCGUUGUCCGGAAUCAUUGGGCGUAAAGCGCGUGUAGGCGGUCCGGUAAGUCCGCUGUGAAAGUCGGGGGCUCAACCCUCGGAUGCCGGUGGAUACUGUCGGGCUCGAAUCCGGAAGAGGUGAGUGGAAUUCCUGGUGUAGCGGUGAAAUGCGCAGAUAUCAGGAGGAACACCAAUGGCGAAGGCAGCUCACUGGGACGGUAUUGACGCUGAGACGCGAAAGCGUGGGGAGCAAACAGG